UCCAGUAAUUCUUCAAACUUCCUUUUGAUUGAUCCCACAGACUGUUUAUCAAAACCUCCACCAGAGAUAACCAUAGCGUGGGCAAGUGCGUCCCAUUUGCUCAGCGUGGGGGCAACAUAGGUAUCGUCCAAGUAGUCAGGGACGAAGAAGUCUUCAGCUCUGGAGAUGNNGUGCCCGGAUCGUUCUGGUGCAGCUUCUUCAGUGUUGCUGGUCUCAGCAGCUUCUGCCCGGGGAGCAUUGCUCCUCUUCACGUAUUGUUUCAUUUGCCCAUUUCUAAUCAAUAUCUCAAUGG
RNAcentral lists this long non-coding RNA (292 nucleotides) under Trifolium pratense (red clover). RNAcentral describes it as "long non-coding RNA (TPRA_LNC007813)". The record is from RNAcentral. Lineage: Eukaryota; Viridiplantae; Streptophyta; Magnoliopsida; Fabales; Fabaceae.